ACGCGGAGCCAAUCGGAACUCGCGGCGGGGUUGCUGGGUCUUCCAGGAUCGCGCAUGAGCGGACGUUGGCUACGGGUGGCCGGGCGGGAUGUAACCGGCUGCUGACCUGGCAGUUGUGUGUCCCCAGGCUUCGGCCCGGCCGCCGCCGCACAUAAACUGCGAGGAGGAGCUUUACGACUUCCCGGUCUUCGGGGCCGGGCGCAGCAAGGGCCAGACUCUGCGCUAGCAGGCGCUGCGCGCCAACCGGCCGGCCCCUGUCGCAGAAGGUGCAACCGAUCGCACUGUCGCGCAGAAGCUCCUCAAUGGCCAGCGCCAGCUGCAGCCCCGGCCGCCCACUCGCCUCACCUGAGCCUGGGUGGAACAAUCCAAAGUUUUAAUCAAAGAAGGUGGUGUUCGGUUGCUGCUUACAAUAGUUGAUACCCCAGGAUUUGGAGAUGCAGUGGAUAAUAGUAAUUGCUGGCAGCCUGUUAUCAAUUACAUUGAUAGUAAAUUUGAGGACUACCUAAAUGCAGAAUCGCGAGUGAACAGAUGUCAGAUGCCUGGUAACAGGGUGCAGUGUUGUUGAUACUUCAUUGCUCCUUCAGGACAUGGACCAUUACAUAACUGAAGACUCCCACCUUCAGGCAGGAUUGGGUAGUACAUGUUUGUAACUACCUGGCAUUGCCUUUUGUUGAGACUUAAACCAUUGGAUAUUGAGUUUACAAAGCAUUUGCAUGAAAAAGUGAAUAUCAUCCCACUUAUUGCCAAAGCAGACACACUCAUGCCAGAGGAAUGCCAACAGUUUAAAAAGCAGAUAAAGAAAUCUAAGAACAUAAAGUUAAAAUAUAUGAAUUUCCAGAAACAGAUGAUGAAGAAGAAAAAAAACUUGUUAAAAAGAUAAAGGACCAUUUACCUCUUGCUGUGGUGGGUAGUAAUACUAUCAUUGAAGUUAAUGGCAAAAGGGUCAUAGGAAGGCAGUAUCCUUGGAGUGUUGCUGAAGUUGAAAAUGGUGAACAUUGUGAUUUUACAGUUCUAAGAAAUAUGUUGAUAAGAACACACGCAGGACUUGAAAGAUGUUACUAAUAAUGUCCACUACGAGAACUAUGGAAUCAGAAAACUGGCAGCUGUGACUUAUCAUGGAGUUGAUAACAAGAAGAAUAAAGGGCAGCUCACUAAGAGCCCUCUGGCACAAAUGGAAGAAGAAAGAAGGGAGCAAGUAGCUAAAAUUAAGAAGAUGGAGAUGGAGCAGGUGUUUGAGAUGAAGGUCAAAGAAAAAGUUCAAAAACUGAAGGACUCUGAAGCUGAGGCCUUCGGGAAGUGUCGAGUCCGGGACGCCCAGCGCCGGCCGGAGCAGGUGGAAGGGAAGCGCAGCUCGGUCCGCGUAGGUGGAGGGGACGUGAAGCCUCCCUGAGGUGAUGGUCGAGGAAGGGCUCUACGGCUCCCAAGCUAGGCCAAAUGCCUUCAGCGGCCGCGCCCGGGCGCCCCUUCCCCUGUGGGGCAACCCUAGCCCGGGACGCGUGAACCACCUCCGUAGCCGCCCCACCAGCACCCCCAGCCGUGCGCCCCUGCACCAUGCAGCUGCCCUGCGCAUGGAGCCGCGAGGGACAGCAGGCCCAGCCCUCAGCACCACCUGCCUGCCAGGAGGUUCGGGAAACUGGCGCCGCAGCGGAGAGGGCAUCGGUCCAACGCCUCCCCCGAGGCUCAGCUGUGGGCUCCCAGGCAUAGGCACCCAUGACCCUUCUGUGUUGUUUGUCUUUGUAUAGUCUGCCAAUGUGGAUCCUGACUCCUGAGAGAAGUAGCUCACCGUGACGAAGCUGCCUUUGCUUUUAUCAAUUUGCAAAUCAAAGAAGGGGGACAUAUUGGGAGCAGGCCCCCCAAAAUCUGGCCAUAAACUGGCCACAAAACUGGCCAUAAACAAAAUCUCUGCAGCACUGUGACAUGCUCAUGACGGCCAUAACUCCCACGCUGGAAGGUUUUGGGUUUACCGGAAUGAAGGCAAGGAACACCUGGCCUGCCCAGGGCAGAAAACCACUUAAAGGCAUUCUUAAACCACAAACAGUAGCAUGAGCGAUCUGUGCCUUAAGGGCAUGUUCCUGCUGCAGAUAACUAGCCAGACCCACCCCUUUAUUUCCGGCCAUCCCUUCAUUUCCCAUAAGGGAUACUUUUAGUUAAUUGAAUAUCUAUAGAAACAAUGCUAAUGACUGGUUUGCUGUUAAUAAAUCCGUGGGUAAAUCUCUGUUCAGGGCUCUCAGCUCUGAAGGCUGUGAGACCCCUGAUUUCCCACUUUACACCUCUAUAUUUCUGUGUGUGUGUCUUUAAUUCCUCUAGCACCACUGGGUUAGGGUCUCCCCGACUGAGCUGGUCUCGGCACUUCUCUUUGCCUUGAAAGCAGUUACAGCGGACCUUCCUGGCAUCAGAAAAAGGCCUCCAGAAACAGAGACACAGGUACUAGCAAUUCCAAAUUAUCCAGAGCACUUCUAAAUUUGUAAGAUCUGAAGGAAAUGUCUGCCAUCUAUAUUCUCAGCCACACUUAGUUUCUUAAUCUGCAAGAUGGAAUUAAUAAUAGUACUUACUUUAUGAUGCUGUUGCAGAAAUUCAUUGAGUUGCUACACGCCAAACACUGAGAACCCAGCUGGGCAUAUAAUAAGCAUUCUAUUGCAUGGCAUUAUUGCCAUCAUUUUUACUUCUAUUACUGCUACUGCUUGUAACUGUUUGUACUUUUUUGAUAUGAAAGUCCACCAUCAGGGAGCACUGUAGUGGAAAAGGUAUUAGGCCAGGCAUAGCCUUUAGUUCUCUGGCCUUGGGUCCUUCAUCUGUGAUAUUCAGUUAACAAUACCUAGCCAGUAGGGGUGUUAAAGAUUAAAUAAAUGUGAGAAUGUACCUGUUGCUUAAUCUUCCUCAAAGGGUUAUGGACUCUCAGAGCCAGAAGAAGGUCAUCUCUCCUUUGCUCCUCGUAUGCUGGGAUCUGCCACAUCAAUGGCAACAGCUGGGCCUCCAGAAUUUGCUCCAGGGUGUUUGGAAGUCCUGACACCCUCCUGAUCUUCUCUGUAACAUGCACACUUUGGCCUGUGUCAGUUUGCUGGAACCACAUCAGGCCGGCCCUCUUCCUGGGACAAAAUUCUUUUUCUUUCUUUCUUUCUUUCUUUUUCUUUUCUUUUUCUUUUUCUUUCUGUUUCUUUCUCUUUCUUUUUCUUUCUGUUUCUCUCUCUUUUCUUUCCUUUCUCUUUUUCUUUCUUUCCUUCCCUUUCUUCCUUCCUUCCCUUUUCUUUUCUUUCUACUGUGACAUGAUCUUGGCUCACUGCAAUCUCUCUCUCCUGGGUUCAAGUGAUUCUACUGCCUCAGCCUUCAAAGUAGCUGGGAUUACAGGUUUGCACCACCAUGCCCGGCUAAUUUUUUGUAUUUUUAGUAGAGACAGUGUUUCACCAUGUUGGCCAGGCUGGUCUCCAUCACCUGAUCUCAGGUGAUCCACCCACCUCAGCCUCCCAAAGUGCUGGGACUACAGGCAUGAGCCACCACGCCUGGCCGAGAGACAGUUAAGUUAUACUUUAAAUGAUAAUAGGCCUCCCCCAAAACUCAGCUGCUUUUGUAAAGCUAAUGGGAGGCCAUCAGGCUGGGGGCAAGGAGGAGAGCCCGGAUCCUGCUAAGGUGCAGACAUAAACGAGUAUCAGCCAUUAUUCUGGAGGUUAUAAGAUAUGCACCUUCCCCAAUUACCCCUGCAAAUCACACCAUUAUUGUAGAUUGGCCCUUAGAGUAUCUUUUCAGGUUUUUUGGCAUGUCUGACACUCAUGGCUCUACUUGGACCCACCAACCCUGCUCCUAUGGCUCCACCCAGAAGCCAUUCAGCCUAGAGGACAGCUCUGACCCCCCUGUGAUUUCAUACAAUCAGCAGCAAGUAACUGUUACCUCACCAUCCCCACCCCUUCCGCCAGACUGCCUUUGAAAAACCUCUAACCUGUGAGCACGAGAUGAUUCCAGAACAAACUCUGUCUCCCAUGUGGCAUGACCAGCCUUCGGUCUCUUAAACUCUUUCUCUACUAUAAUGCCAUGGUCUUUAUGCAGCAGGCAGGAAGAAUUCAGGUGGUUACAAUUCCGUAUGUGCUUUUCGAUUAUUUUUCUACUGGGCUAUUGCUCUCUUCAUAAUGAUUUUUUUAAUUUCUCUCUAUAAGGAACUGAUUUCAUCUGAAAUUGAAGAGACAGAGAAAAACUAUAGACCACUCAUGAUGGUUGUUAUAUGUGCUUGGCUGGGCCAUGGGUCCCAGUGUUUGGCGAAACACAGUGGCAGAUGUCCCUCACACACAUGCCCUCUUGGUUCUGUUUCUUUGAAGAACCCCAGAAAAACACACAAAGGAAAAACAACUCGAUAGACAGAAGAUUCUUCAAUGACAACAAUGGAAGCCAUCUUCACCAUUCAACUAAACUUGAAUGGGAUAUUAUCAAACUUACUUAAAAAAAAAAAUUAUCAACUGAUCGUGUAAUCAGUUUUAUCUUUUAAGACAGGAGAUGAAAUAAAGUAUUUACAGAUGAAUGUAAAAUGAACUUAUCAUUGCAUCCUGAGCUACAGUAACUUCUGAGAGACCAAAAAAGCAAUACUGUCUCAGCAAGAUAUUCUAAGAUACAAGAAAGGCUAGUAAAAUAGAGAGUCUCUAUUACAUUUUAAAUAUUAUCUAAAAUGUAACUGUGAGAUUCAAAAAGGCACAAGAUGAAAACACUGGAUAGGAAUAGCAUGUAAUGGGCUGGGCACGGGGGCUCACACUUGUAAUCCCA
Gorilla gorilla gorilla (western lowland gorilla) is the source of this 4743-nucleotide long non-coding RNA. RefSeq lists it as uncharacterized. The record is from RefSeq and is a predicted model, not a curated record. The transcript is spliced from 12 exons. Lineage: Eukaryota; Metazoa; Chordata; Mammalia; Primates; Hominidae.